UACGUAGGGGGCAAGCGUUGUCCGGAAUUAUUGGGCGUAAAGAGCGCGUAGGCGGUCCGGUAAGUCGGCUGUGAAAGUCAAGGGCUCAACCCUUGAAAGCCGGCCGAUACUGUCGGACUAGAGUCCGGAAGAGGAGAGUGGAAUUCCCGGUGUAGCGGUGAAAUGCGCAGAUAUCGGGAAGAACACCCGUGGCGAAGGCGGCUCUCUGGGACGGUACUGACGCUGAGACGCGAAAGCGUGGGGAGCGAACCGG
Molecule: ribosomal RNA, 253 nt
Filed under: uncultured bacterium
Lineage: Bacteria
Description: partial 16S ribosomal RNA
Rfam family: Bacterial small subunit ribosomal RNA
Source: RNAcentral